CGGCGUGCUUAACACAUGCAAGUCGAACGCGAAAGUAUUCUUCGGGAAACGAGUAGAGUGGCGCACGGGUGAGUAACGCGUAAGUAAUCUAUCCUGGCAUCUGGAAUAACCCACCGAAAGGUGAGCUAAUACAGGAUACGUUGAUUUAUCAAGAAAGGUGGCCUCUAUUUAUAAGCUACUGUGCGAGGAGGAGCAUGCGUACCAUUAGCUAGUUGGUAGGGUAAUGGCCUACCAUGGCAACGAUGGUUAGCGGGUCUGAGAGGAUGAUCCGCCACACUGGAACUGGAACACGGACCAGACUCCUACGGGAGGCAGCAGUGAGGAAUAUUGCGCAAUGGGGGAAACCCUGACGCAGCGACGCCGCGUGGAUGAUGAAGGCUUUCGGGUCGUAAAAUCCUGUCAGAUGGGAAGAAAUGCGAUAGAUUUAAUAUGUCUAUAGUUUGACGGUACCAUCAAAGGAAGCACCGGCUAACUCCGUGCCAGCAGCCGCGGUAAUACGGAGGGUGCAAGCGUUGUUCGGAAUUACUGGGCGUAAAGCGCGCGUAGGCGGUUAUUUAAGUCAGAUGUGAAAGCCCAUGGCUCAACCAUGGACGUGCAUUUGAUACUGGAUAACUUGAGUACUGGAGGGGAUGGUGGAAUUCCCGGUGUAGAGGUGAAAUUCGUAGAUAUCGGGAGGAAUACCGGUGGCGAAGGCGACCAUCUGGCCAGAUA
Molecule: ribosomal RNA, 711 nt
Filed under: Desulfocapsaceae bacterium
Lineage: Bacteria; Pseudomonadati; Thermodesulfobacteriota; Desulfobulbia; Desulfobulbales; Desulfocapsaceae
Description: bacterial SSU rRNA
Rfam family: Bacterial small subunit ribosomal RNA
Source: RNAcentral